RNAcentral lists this unclassified non-coding RNA (200 nucleotides) under Hevea brasiliensis (rubber tree). Lineage: Eukaryota; Viridiplantae; Streptophyta; Magnoliopsida; Malpighiales; Euphorbiaceae. The record is from RNAcentral.
AAAACAGAAAUUAUAUCAGUUCUUAACGCCAAAUCAAAACAGAUAAAAACAAGUGCAGAAUGUUGUCUCAUCGCAGUACUCAUUGUUCAUAGUUAGCAAGUGCUUGUCUCACCCAUUAAAUCCCAUUUCAAGCAUAGCAUGGCAUUAAGCCUUAUACAGAACCUGCGAAAAUAAUCCAAUUUCAAAAACUUCAUCCCUUC